AUGCCCAGGGGAGGCCAUUCCCGCACUGCUGGGCCGGCCCCCGCGUUUCCCUGUGUCCGGCCGGAGGGAGCCGCUUGCAGGCAGGUACCAAUUAGCUGCGGGCAGCGGCUGGGCAGAGACUGGCUGGUGACUCACUGGGAGCACGUGUGGGAAGACCAAAGGCACUGUUAUUUUACGGGAUUUCCAGAAACGGCUGGAGGAGUGAAUCUGAAAGUGCGAAUCACCCAGCCGGGGCAGGGGGAACCCGGGGCUGGCCGUGCCAGGUGGUUUUGGACCCGGCUCCUUGCAGCAACGGGAGCUGGGAGAGCAGCUGCACGAGGUGCCCAGCUCCCGGGGAUGGAGAACAGGGGAGCUGGCAUCCCUGUGUCCUGGUGGAAGGACCUGUUCCCUGCUUCCUUCCCCAGGUUGGAAGUGGAGGGGUUUGGGGGUCCAGAGGGCUGGGGGGGUGCUGGAGCAGGGACUGGGGGAGUGCCGGGUCCGUUUCUGGCUGCUGCAGGAUGUGACCCGUGCCAGAGCCGUGCUGGCCUGUCCCCUGGCCGUGGUGCCACCUCCCCUUCCUGCCGGAGCCCCGGGAGCUGCGCCGGCGCCUUUGAGCRGGGCCGUGGCUCCUGCAGCCCCGUGCCGGUGAGCGGCAGCUGGUGCCGUGGGGAGUGGAUGUGUCACUCUCUCUUCUUGGCAGGGAACAAACGCGUGGAGGAAAACCCUGGCUGCGCCUGGCCUCCCGCCGCCUCCGCCCCGGCACGGGGCCGCUGCCUGCCCUGCGCCCCCCACUCGCGCUCCCCGGCUUGGGACAGGGCGGCGCGACCCCYGGGAAGAACCCGGACCUGGGAAAACCGGCUGCAGACGAGUCACGUCACAGCCGGGCCYGGGAGCAGCUGCAUCUCCAGGGCUCAAAGCGGCGCGGCUGGCAGAAGGGUCCUGCCGGUGCUGGCAGCGGUCUGGCUCCCUCGCCGGGCUGCUGCGCCGCAGGUCCUGCCCGGACGUCUCGAUCCCGGCAGCUUUCGGUUCCUCUGUCCGGGCCGUCACGAGCUGCUGCGCCGGCACGAGCCGCGGGGAGGGAAGGGAAGGGAAGGGCGGCCAUGGCCUGGCGGCUCUUCCUGCGCUCGCGGGCGGUUUGCUUUGCCGGGUGACGAGUCCGGUCACACGGYGGCCGCGAUUAGGGCAGCGCCAAGGCGCUAA
Molecule: long non-coding RNA, 1179 nt
Filed under: Apteryx haastii (Great spotted kiwi)
Lineage: Eukaryota; Metazoa; Chordata; Aves; Apterygiformes; Apterygidae
Description: lncRNA (ENSAHAG00000010001.1)
Source: RNAcentral